This 527-nucleotide long non-coding RNA is filed under the name Gallus gallus (chicken). The record is from RNAcentral. Lineage: Eukaryota; Metazoa; Chordata; Aves; Galliformes; Phasianidae.
CUCCUUUCCUCCCAGACAGGAGUUUCUCCACCAGAGCCACAUUCCCCGUGCGGGCGGCCUCCAGCAGCUCCUGGUCCUUGCCCAUGGCCGGGGACCGCGCGGCCCCCGCUCCCCCCGCCGCGCUGCCUGGGAGCGGAGCGUGGAUUCCUGCAGUCCCCUCCGGAGCAGCGGGAGCAGCAGCGGGAGGGAGGAGGAGAAUCACCUCCUCCUAGUUUCACUGGAUCAUUGCUGGGUGGAGUGUGGAGGGGAAGGAGGGGGGGAGCCAGGCCGAGCAGGAGCCUCCCCCCCCCGCUCCCAUCCGCGCACCCCGAGCCUCGGCCUGGAGAGCGGGGCGGAGGGCAGCGGGCGGCCCCCGCCCGCCCCUCGCGCGUUCCACUGCGGUGAGGGGCUGCGCGUGCGGGGAGAGGUGUCCGUCCGCCCGCCCGCUCCUCGGCCCCGCCAGGUGCGGAGCCCGCGGCCCAGGCGGCCGCAGGUGGCCCCGGGGAGCGGCGGGGAGGUGGCGCCGCCUCGCGCUGCGGAAAGGGAAG